AGGAAUUGGCGGGGGAGCACUACAACGGGUGGAGCCUGCGGUUCAAUUGGAUUCAACGCCGGAAAGCUUACCGGGUCAGACAGCAAUAUGAAGGUCAAGCUAAAGACUUUACCGAAUUCGCUGAGAGGAGGUGCAUGGCCGUCGUCAGUUCGUAUCGUGAGACAUCCUGUUAAGUCAGGCAACGAGCAAGACCCGUGCCCACAGUUGCCAGCAUACCCUCCGGGGUGAUGGGCACACUGUGGGGACCGCCGCUGCUAAAGCGGAGGAAGGUGCGGGCUACGGUAGGUCAGUAUGCCCCGAAUCAUCCGGGCUACACGCGGGCUACAAUGGUUGGGACAAUGGGCACCUACACCGAGAGGUGAUGGUAAUCUCCUAAACCCAGCCUUAGUUCGGAUUGAGGGCUGCAACUCGCCCUCAGAAGCCGGAAUCCG
This 431-nucleotide ribosomal RNA is filed under the name uncultured archaeon. RNAcentral describes it as "bacterial SSU rRNA". It matches the Rfam family "Archaeal small subunit ribosomal RNA", at positions 860 to 1291 of the family's 1478-position model. The record is from RNAcentral.